AGAGUUUGAUCCUCGCUCAGGACGAACGCUGGCGGCGGGCCUAACACAUGCAAGUCGUGGGAGAAGCCGUCUCUUCGGAGGCGGUGGAGACCGGCGGAUGGGUGAGUAACGCGUAGGCAACCUGCCUGGGAGGCGGGGAUAACGUUCCGAAAGGGGCGCUAAUACCCGAUGAUGCAGCGGCCCCGCAUGGGGACAGUUGUUAAAGGCUUCGGCCACUUCCAGAUGGGCCUGCAUGCCAUUAGCUAGUUGGCGGGGUAGAAGCCCACCAAGGCGAUGAUGGCUAGGGGGUCUGAGAGGAUGAUCCCCCACACUGGGACUGAGACACGGCCCAGACUCCUACGGGAGGCAGC
RNAcentral lists this ribosomal RNA (350 nucleotides) under uncultured bacterium. RNAcentral describes it as "bacterial SSU rRNA". It matches the Rfam family "Bacterial small subunit ribosomal RNA", at positions 8 to 352 of the family's 1533-position model. The record is from RNAcentral.